AGGAUGAACGCUGGCGGCGUGCCUAACACAUGCAAGUCGAACGUCCUGUCUCGCAAGAGGCAGGGAGUGGCGGACGGGUGAGUACCACGUGGGUUAUCUACCGUGAGGUGAGGAAUACCGGCGAGAAAUCGCCGACAAGACCGCAUAGCCUCGGUGCAAGCCGAGGAAAGCUUUCUCGAGAGAGGGAGCGCCACACGAGGAGCCUGCGCCCGAUUAGCUAGCUGGUGGAGUAACGGUUCACCAGGGCGACGAUCGGUAGCUGGUCUGAGAGGACGAUCAGCCACACUGGGAUUGAGAACGGCCCAGACUCCUACGGGGGGCAGCAGUGAGGAAUUUUCGUCAAUGGGGGCAACCCUGAACGAGCAACGCCGCGUGCAGGAGAAGGUUUUCGGAUCGUAAACUGCUUUUCUCGGGGACGAGCAAGGACGGUACCCGAGGAACGACGCCCGGCUAACUACGUGCCAGCAGCCGC
This 472-nucleotide ribosomal RNA is filed under the name uncultured bacterium. RNAcentral describes it as "SSU rRNA". It matches the Rfam family "Bacterial small subunit ribosomal RNA", at positions 26 to 518 of the family's 1533-position model. The record is from RNAcentral.